Amphimedon queenslandica is the source of this 288-nucleotide long non-coding RNA. RefSeq lists it as uncharacterized. The transcript is spliced from 2 exons. NCBI's taxonomy places the organism in Eukaryota, Metazoa, Porifera, Demospongiae, Haplosclerida, Niphatidae. The record is from RefSeq and is a predicted model, not a curated record.
CUAUCAUCAGACUUAGUCUCAGUCCAUCAGAACCAGGAUUAGUCUUUAAUCACAUGUAAGAAGGAUUCCAAGGAACAUAAGUGUGCUGGAAUAGCUCAGCAUCAUGUAACUAGCUCUUAAUAGUGACGUCUAGUAUGAAGUAAAACACUUCCAUCGUUACAUGAUUUUAAUAUUUUAUUUAUGAUAAAAUUGAUGUUAAUUACAAUAAUUAUCUUUGUUAUCGUCAAGAUAGUUUCUAAUUAUUGUGUAUAUACUGUUAGUAUCAUAAAGUAUGAGUAAAUACAUUAA